Molecule: long non-coding RNA, 710 nt
Filed under: Penaeus japonicus
Lineage: Eukaryota; Metazoa; Arthropoda; Malacostraca; Decapoda; Penaeidae
Description: uncharacterized LOC122257874
Source: RNAcentral
CAAGACGUCGUCUGCAAGAGCGGCUACGAACAUCUAGGCAUUCCUUACCCUGUUCCCUUCAAGGCUGAUUCCUCGCCAUUAUCCGCUUCCAUCCUCGUUCCCGCUGACUUCUUGGUAUCCUUCACCCUCCCAAACCUUCCCGAACAACCCCGAGGCCCACGUUUGUGGCUGGUUGGCCCGGAAGCCGAUUUGUGAAGGUGAGCUUUGCUUGUGUUUCGCCCUUGAACGUGGAAUGCGUGAGAAAGGUUCACUUAGACGAGAUUAUUCCUCUGAUUAUCGUUUCAUUAGUCUGGUGCCCUACGUCGAGGGUGACUCAAGACAGACACAAAUUGAAGGGCAAUAUCUGGAUGAUUACCUUAUUUCUAUUUAUUCAUUGGUUUGUCUGUUUAUUUAUUUGUUCCUUUAUUCCUUCGUUCAGAGUGUUUAUUUAUUUGUUCCUUUAUUCCUUCGUUUAGAGAAUAUACAUUUUUAUUUUACCUGGUCAUUCGGAAGUCCAUGAUCCACAUCUGUCAUGAGGAUUGACAGAUGACAGGCAAGACUAAAGGUCGGACUGCUCCCGAGGGCAUGAGUAACGUCACGCAUUACAGGGGAAAACAAACAGGAAUGAAGGUUGACUUUUCUUGCCCAACAUCCGGGUGUGAGUCAAGGUAUGUCUUGUGAGGAUGAGUUUUGAUUGCUUGUUCUGUGAUUUGUUCUUGUUGCGGCUUGAA